UCGACGGGUAGCCGGCCUGAGAGGGUGACCGGCCACACUGGGACUGAGACACGGCCCAGACUCCUACGGGAGGCAGCAGUGGGGAAUAUUGCACAAUGGGCGGAAGCCUGAUGCAGCAACGCCGCGUGAGGGAUGACGGCCUUCGGGUUGUAAACCUCUUUUAGCAGGGAAGAAGCGAAAGUGACGGUACCUGCAGAAAAAGCGCCGGCUAACUACGUGCCAGCAGCCGCGGUAAUACGUAGGGCGCAAGCGUUAUCCGGAAUUAUUGGGCGUAAAGAGCUCGUAGGCGGUUUGUCGCGUCUGCUGUGAAAUCCCGAGGCUCAACCUCGGGCCUGCAGUGGGUACGGGCAGACUAGAGUGCGGUAGGGGAGAUUGGAAUUCCUGGUGUAGCGGUGGAAUGCGCAGAUAUCAGGAGGAACACCGAUGGCGAAGGCAGAUCUCUGGGCCGUAACUGACGCUGAGGAGCGAAAGGGUGGGGAGCAAACAGGCUUAGAUACCCUGGUAGUCCACCCCGUAAACGUUGGGAACUAGUUGUGGGGUCCAUUCCACGGAUUCCGUGACGCAGCUAACGCAUUAAGUUCCCCGCCUGGGGAGUACGGCCGCAAGGCUAAAACUCAAAGGAAUUGACGGGGACCCGCACAAGCGGCGGAGCAUGCGGAUUAAUUCGAUGCAACGCGAAGAACCUUACCAAGGCUUGACAUAUACGAGAACGGGCCAGAAAUGGUCAACUCUUUGGACACUCGUAAACAGGUGGUGCAUGGUUGUCGUCAGCUCGUGUCGUGAGAUGUUGGGUUAAGUCCCGCAACGAGCGCAACCCUCGUUCUAUGUUGCCAGCACGUAAUGGUGGGAACUCAUGGGAUACUGCCGGGGUCAACUCGGAGGAAGGUGGGGAUGACGUCAAAUCAUCAUGCCCCUUAUGUCUUGGGCUUCACGCAUGCUACAAUGGCCGGUACAAAGGGCUGCAAUACCGUGAGGUGGAGCGAAUCCCAAAAAGCCGGUCCCAGUUCGGAUUGAGGUCUGCAACUCGACCUCAUGAAGUCGGAGUCGCUAGUAAUCGCAGAUCAGCAACGCUGCGGUGAAUACGUUCCCGGGUCUUGUACACACCGCCCGUCAAGUCAUGAAAGUCGGUAACACCUGAAGCCGGUGGCCUAACCCUUGUGGAGGGAGCCGUCGAAG
This 1176-nucleotide ribosomal RNA is filed under the name Microbacterium paraoxydans. Its description in RNAcentral is "bacterial SSU rRNA". It matches the Rfam family "Bacterial small subunit ribosomal RNA", at positions 276 to 1461 of the family's 1533-position model. Lineage: Bacteria; Bacillati; Actinomycetota; Actinomycetes; Micrococcales; Microbacteriaceae. The record is from RNAcentral.